RNAcentral lists this ribosomal RNA (240 nucleotides) under uncultured Lactobacillus sp. RNAcentral describes it as "partial 16S ribosomal RNA". It matches the Rfam family "Bacterial small subunit ribosomal RNA", at positions 122 to 355 of the family's 1533-position model. Lineage: Bacteria; Bacillati; Bacillota; Bacilli; Lactobacillales; Lactobacillaceae. The record is from RNAcentral.
UAACCUGCCCAAGAGAUCGGGAUAACACCUGGAAACAGAUGCUAAUACCGGAUAACAACAGAUGAUGCCUAUCAACUGUUUAAAAGAUGGUUCUGCUAUCACUCUUGGAUGGACCUGCGGUGCAUUAGCUAGUUGGUAGGGUAACGGCCUACCAAGGCGAUGAUGCAUAGCCGAGUUGAGAGGCUGAUCGGCCACAUUGGGACUGAGACACGGCCCAAACUCCUACGGGAGGCAGCAGCC